GUCGAGCGGUAACAGGUGUAGCAAUACAUGCUGACGAGCGGCGAACGGGUGAGUAAUGCUUCGGAAUCUACCCAAUGGCGGGGAAUAACUAGCCGAAAGGUUAGCUAAUACCGCAUAAGCCCUACGGGGGAAAGCAGGGGAUCGUAAGACCUUGCACCGAUGGAUGAGCCGAAGCCGGAUUAGCUAGUUGGUAGGGUAACGGCCUACCAAGGCGACGAUCCGUAGCUGGUCUGAGAGGACGACCAGCCACACUGGGACUGAGACACGGCCCAGACUCCUACGGGAGGCAGCAGUGGGGAACAUUGGACAAUGGGGGAAACCCUGAUCCAGCGACGCCGCGUGUGUGAAGAAGGCCUGCGGGUUGUAAAGCACUUUUAGUGGGGAUGAAAAGCCUAGGGAUAAUACCUCUGGGUCUUGACCUAACCCACAGAAAAAGCACCGGCUAACUCUGUGCCAGCAGCCGCGGUAAUACAGAGGGUGCAAGCGUUAAUCGGAAUUACUGGGCGUAAAGCGUGCGUAGACGGUUAUGUAAGUCGGGUGUGAAAGCCCCGGGCUCAACCUGGGAAUUGCAUUCGAGACUGCAUAGCUAGGGUGCGGAAGAGGGAAGCGGAAUUUCCGGUGUAGCGGUGAAAUGCGUAGAUAUCGGAAAGAACACCAGUGGCGAAAGCGGCUUCCUGGUCCAGCACCGACGUUCA
RNAcentral lists this ribosomal RNA (695 nucleotides) under uncultured Gammaproteobacteria bacterium. RNAcentral describes it as "bacterial SSU rRNA". It matches the Rfam family "Bacterial small subunit ribosomal RNA", at positions 61 to 749 of the family's 1533-position model. Lineage: Bacteria; Pseudomonadati; Pseudomonadota; Gammaproteobacteria. The record is from RNAcentral.